GACGAACGCUGGCGGCGUGCCUAAUACAUGCAAGUUGAGCGCUGAAGGUUGGUACUUGUACCAACUGGAUGAGCAGCGAACGGGUGAGUAACGCGUGGGGAAUCUGCCUUUGAGCGGGGGACAACAUUUGGAAACGAAUGCUAAUACCGCAUAAAAACUUUAAACACAAGUUUUAAGUUUGAAAGAUGCAAUUGCAUCACUCAAAGAUGAUCCCGCGUUGUAUUAGCUAGUUGGUGAGGUAAAGGCUCACCAAGGCGAUGAUACAUAGCCGACCUGAGAGGGUGGGCGGCCACAAUGGGACUGAGACACGGCCCAAACGCCUACGGGAGGCAGCAGUAGGGAAUCUUCGGCAAUGGGCGAAAGUCUGACCGAGCAACGCCGCGUGAGUGAAGAAGGUUUUCGGAUCGUAAAACUCUGUUGGUAGAGAAGAACGUUGGUGAGAGUGGAAAGCUCAUCAAGUGACGGUAACUACCCAGAAAGGGACGGCUAACUACGUG
Molecule: ribosomal RNA, 497 nt
Filed under: uncultured bacterium
Lineage: Bacteria
Description: partial 16S ribosomal RNA
Rfam family: Bacterial small subunit ribosomal RNA
Source: RNAcentral